This 247-nucleotide long non-coding RNA is filed under the name Panax ginseng (ginseng). Its description in RNAcentral is "long non-coding RNA (PGIN_LNC008753)". The record is from RNAcentral. Lineage: Eukaryota; Viridiplantae; Streptophyta; Magnoliopsida; Apiales; Araliaceae.
UAGCACUCACUCGGGGUGUUUUUGAGGGCCACAUAAAUCAAUUUAUCUUCCAAAAUUAUAUGAAAAAAUAUAACCUCAUUUCAUUGGAAAAGCAAACCAAGCCAAUUUAAUAUUUAUACAUCACUAAACCCCAUAAUCAAAACAUACAGUAAUAAACAAAUGAAUGAAUUAGACUAUUCCUUUUCUAUAUAUUUUUCAUUAUACAUAGCUUUUCUGUAUAUUCCCUCUUAAUACUAAAUUUGUCAUU